GGGGUAACAGGGCUCCAGCAUUCCAUAUGGAACUGCAGGCAGGGUGCACGGCAGAGGGAAGAGCCCAGAAGAUGCUCCUCUCCUGCUCAUCUGCCUCCUGCCCAGGGCUAGCGGGAAGAACUGUCUCCGCUGCUGGUCAGACUUGCCUGCCCCGAUUGACUACGAUCUGAAGAUUCUCUGGGGCACCCCAGGGCCUCCCACAGAACUCUCCAAGAGCCUCCACUCCCUCUUCCAAGAGGACAGCAUCUUGCUCCAGCACCGGUACCUUGAUCAGGAUCUUGUAGAAGAGGAGACAGCCAAAUUCUUCAACCAAGUAGACCAAGCCACUGGGAAGUUUAGAGAUGACAAAACAUCACUUCUGAAAGAGACUGAUAUGCACAAGGAUCUCCUUGCUGAGAGGCUGAACAAAAGAGCUGAGAAGCUGAGGGAGCAGGGACAUCCUCACCUCCCACCUGGGUUAAGGCAGCCUUUUCUAUCUGGCCUUCUUCCCAUCCUGGCUACACCUCACUUCACCACCAGAAAACUCUCAAGGAGAACACUUACUCAUGCCAGGAACCUUCAGAGCUAA
This 568-nucleotide long non-coding RNA is filed under the name Chinchilla lanigera (long-tailed chinchilla). Its description in RNAcentral is "lncRNA (ENSCLAG00000025789.1)". The record is from RNAcentral. Lineage: Eukaryota; Metazoa; Chordata; Mammalia; Rodentia; Chinchillidae.